AUUGAACGCUGGCGGCAGGCCUAACACAUGCAAGUCGAACGAGUGGCGGACGGGAGAGUAAUGUAUGGGAAACUGCCUGAUGGAGGGGGAUAACUACUGGAAACGGUAGCUAAUACCGUAUACAAGAGGAUGUGACCAGAUGGGAUUAGCUAGUAGGUUGGGUAAAGGUUCACCUAGGCGAGGAUCCCUAGCUGGUCUGAGAGGAUGACCAGCCACACUGGAACUGAGACACGGUCCAGACUCCUACGGGAGGCAGCAGUGGGGAAUAUUGCACAAUGGGCGCAAGCCUGAUGCAGCCAUGCCGCGUGUGUGAAGAAGGCCUUCGGGUUGUAAAGUACUUUCAGCGGGGAGGCGUUACCCUCAGAAGAAGCACCGGCUAACUCCGUGCCAGCAGCCGCGGUAAUUC
Molecule: ribosomal RNA, 406 nt
Filed under: uncultured bacterium
Lineage: Bacteria
Description: partial 16S ribosomal RNA
Rfam family: Bacterial small subunit ribosomal RNA
Source: RNAcentral